GACGAACGCUGGCGGCGUGCUUAACACAUGCAAGUCGAACGGAAAGGCCCCUUCGGGGGUCCUCGAGUGGCGAACGGGUGAGUAACACGUGAGUAACCUGCCCUUGACUUCGGGAUAACUUCAGGAAACUGGGGCUAAUACCGGAUAGGAAUCCUUGCUGCAUGGUGGGGGUUGGAAAGCUUCGGCGGUUUUGGAUGGACUCGCGGCUUAUCAGCUUGUUGGUGGGGUAGUGGCUUACCAAGGCUUUGACGGGUAGCCGGCCUGAGAGGGCGACCGGCCACAUUGGGACUGAGAUACGGCCCAGACUGCUACGGGAGGCAGCAGUGGGGAAUAUUGCACAAUGGGCGGAAGCCUGAUGCAGCAACGCCGCGUGCGGGAUGACGGCCUUCGGGUUGUAAACCGCUUUCAGCAGGGGCGAAGCUUGUGGUGACGGUACCUGCAGAAGAAGCACCGGCUAACUACGUG
Molecule: ribosomal RNA, 465 nt
Filed under: uncultured bacterium
Lineage: Bacteria
Description: partial 16S ribosomal RNA
Rfam family: Bacterial small subunit ribosomal RNA
Source: RNAcentral